CUCAGAGGUAAUCAUGUUUAAAAGAUGCCAUGAAAGUAGUGACUGACGGAAGAGGGAGACAUUCUAGGUGACUUGACUGAAGAAAGGGCUUCCAGAAUGUGAAAGAUUGCAGCUGCCUGCCUUGCCUACUUGUCGAAGCAGUUUCUUUGCUCACUGUCAUCUGGAUGCAAUGUCCUCAAAGGACAGUGCAACCACCUUUUAAAUAGCAGGUCUUCAAAUGAUUCAGGUACUGAAAAAGUUAUGACUCACAGUGCUGUUACUGGAUCAGCCCAGUCUCCCUAAAGGAAAGAGUCCAAGGAGUCCAAACAACUAAAUAAAAUAAAGCCAUCUGGAAGCUUUUCCUGGUCUGAUCUAGUCUACCUGGACCUGUCUAAGAAGCUCCUGUUCAAUACAGAAAAAAGAUCUGGGUGCUUGUGUCCAAAACAUAAUCCUUUUGCAUAUGUUGGUAUAUGUUCAAAUCCUACCUUACAAGUGUCUAAUUAUGCUUAUUUCUCCUGCUUACAGCUCUAUAUUGUAUGGGUAAUUUAGUGGAUUCAGGUUUUUGAAAAUGAAUGCCCUCAUUUAUUAUUAUUUUUUUUUUUAUUCUUUUUAUUACUGCAGCAUUGUAUUUUACUAAAUAAACAUUACAAAGAUGCUCAA
Molecule: non-coding RNA, 639 nt
Organism: Anas platyrhynchos (mallard)
Lineage: Eukaryota; Metazoa; Chordata; Aves; Anseriformes; Anatidae
Source: RefSeq, a predicted model, not a curated record